GCGUGCCUAAUACAUGCAAGUAGAACGCUGAAGAGAGGAAGCUUGGCUCUUCUUGGAAUGAGUUGCGAACGGGUGAGUAACGCGUAGGUAACCUGCCUUGUAGCGGGGGAUAACUAUUGGAAACGAUAGCUAAUACCGCAUAACAAUGGAUGACCACAUGUCAUUUAUUUGAAUAGGGGCAAUUGCUCCACUACAAAGAUGGACCUGCGUUGUAUUAGCUAGUAGGUGAGGUAACGGCUCACCUAGGCGGCGAUACAUAGCCGACCUGAGAGGGUGAUCGGCCACACUGGGACUGAGACACGGCCCAGACUCCUACGGGAGGCAGUAGUAGGGAAUCUUCGGCAAUGGGGGCAACCCUGACCGAGCAACGCCGCGUGAGUGAAGAAGGUUUUCGGAUCGUAAAGCUCUGUUGUAAGGCAAGAACGAGUGUGAGAGUGGAGAGUUCACACUGUGACGGUAGCUUACCAGAAAGGGACGGCUAACUACGUGCCAGCAGCCGCGGUAAUACGUAGGUCCCGAGCGUUGUCCGGAUUUAUUGGGCGUAAAGCGAGCGCAGGCGGUUUGAUAAGUCUGAAGUUAAAGGCUGUGGCUCAACCAUAGUUCGCUUUGGAAACUGUCAAACUUGAGUGCAGAAGGGGAGAGUGGAAUUCCAUGUGUAGCGGUGAAAUGGUCGUACGAUAUAUGGAAGGAACACCGGUGGCGAAAGCGGCUCUCUGGUCCUGUAAACUGACGCUGAGGCUUCGAAAGCGUGGGGAGCCGAACAGGAUUUAAGAUACCCCUGGUAGUCCCACGCCCGUAAACGAUGAGUAGCUAAGGUUGUUGGGUCCUUUUCCGGGGAUUCCAGUGGCCCCGCAGCUAACGCAUUAAGCAACUCCGGCCCUGGGGAGAUACCGAACCGCAAGGUUGCUAACUUCAA
This 916-nucleotide ribosomal RNA is filed under the name uncultured bacterium. RNAcentral describes it as "bacterial SSU rRNA". It matches the Rfam family "Bacterial small subunit ribosomal RNA", at positions 42 to 905 of the family's 1533-position model. The record is from RNAcentral.